GCUGGCCGUUGGGCAGCACCGGCCUCGGGAGGUUAGGUCUGCGGCCUUGCCUGCUUGGCCUGGCUCCAAGACAACACGGAACCCCAUGAGGGGUCGCCCACGCCUGUCUCCUUCCACGCAGUUUGAAAUAAAGGUGGUGAGGGGCCUCCAGGACCUCUCCAACCACCUGGGCGAGGGCUCGGCCCGAGGCGAGCAGGGGGAGGGCAAGGAGAGCUUGAAACGCCGCAGCAUCACCUCUGCAGGUGUAUAAGGGGAAACAUGCCCCUGUCCGAUGAACGGAGAGCCUCAGUAGAGCCGAGUUUAUUUGGAAAAAAUUCCACAUCUCAUCUGAGAGAUGCUGGACCAUCCCAGAUCACUCCACAGCCUGCCUGGAUGACUGCACCUCUUCGUUCUGUCUUCAGGUUAGGUGUGGAGGUAUCAUGGCUUCCCCUCCCUACCCUCAACCUGAAUGGGGAAUGUGCCUCUGCUGAAGGAGAGAAGUUUUCCCCCAUUCCCUCAAUAUGUCCAGAAGUGCUUAGCCCAGCACGUCCUCUCAGUUAUUUCAGAAAUUUUCUUUGCUCUCAAAUAGUUUUGUUACCUCCCGCCAGAUGUCAAUGAGGCGUAACUGUGCACUGAGCUUACUGUCUGUAAUGCCUAAUAACCAGUGAAUUUACUCUUUGUAACUCCUGUAAGCUCGCCCCCUCCUGAGAGUAUAACCUGCCCUGCUCAACCCCAAAGGGUCAGUCUCUUGUUGUGUGAACCCAGGCUGACCCACCAGUGCUAAGAAUAAAGCUUGUUUUACACUUUGCCUCCGAGACUCCUAGUGUGCUUUCUGUCUCCGAGAAGAACUACAGCGGGAGAACUGUAGAGCAUACAAAACUUUAGGCUUCAAAUACUCCCCUUCCUAUAAGUAAAGUCUGACUGCAUGCUAGAGCCAACUCUCACAGAAGCAGCCUCUCAUUCUCAGGGGGCAAAUCCAUGCACUCACUGUUCCUUGUGCCGCAGCAUUAGUCUUGAUAAGUCUUUUGGAUGACAGGUUUGCCUAUUUGUGGUUUAUAAUUUGAAUAGAGCAGGCUGACCUUGUACUUAACAGCUGAGAACACCACUGAGGGCAACUAAGAGCCAGAGAAGGAAGGAGACCAAUGGAGAAUUGCUGGGAGUUACCAUCUUCAGUCUCCAGAAGAGUACCUGAGGGCUGCUGGUUUUAGUUGUCAGGAGAAUGGUGUAGGGCCACUAACUCUUGAGAGCUGGUGCUGGUAUUCAAAGCUCAGGGCUGUUAAAACUGAAGAAAGCUAGUUACACUUUGCCUAUUUGUGAUUUCUGUCUGAGCGUAGCAAGAGAACCUCAGAUGUUUGGUAUCAAAAUCAAAAGGUAACCAAGGAAUUUGAAUCAAGAAAAACACCUGAGGACAAAUGUGCACACCUGUAAUCUCAGCACUCUGAAACUGAAGCCAGAUUGUAAGUUUGAGCCCAGGCUGGACAACUUACCCAGACCUCUCUCAAAACAUGAAAGGGGGCUAGAGAUGUGUCUCAGUGUAAAGGCUCUGGAUUCCACCCUCAGCCCCCCAAAAAGCUCAAUGUUCUAUUGAUGACCUACAACAACUGAGGAGUCCCUGAAAGAGGAAAUAGACAAGGUUUAUAGCCAAUUUAUAGUAGAAUGGGCAGGGCCAAGUCGAAAAUUAACAAGGAAAAUAAUAUACAUAGAUGGAUCCAGUUUUGCCACAUUUAAAUGACAAAAGUUAUAGAAACAACAGAAAGAAUGGUGGUGAUAUAAUACAGAGAUGAGCUAUGCAGUCAGAUAGGGCCAAGUCCUCAAGAGGGCCAGGAUAAAGGUGAAACACAACACAGCUGAAAACUAGGCCUCAAGAUGGAGACAAGAUGACCAGACACACAUACUUCUUCAAAGAACUGGGCUUAGUGAAGUAUACAUAGCAUCGACCACCCCAGUGGGUGACCAGACACCUCUGGACCCACCGCAUCCUUGGAGAAUCCUUGUUCUUUCCAUCCAUGCUUACUAUGUGACUUGCUUUCCAAUUGGAGCACCAUUACCUAAGUGACCAUACUUGUAACCUUAUUGGAUGUUCAUGGCUGUGGCCCACAUGGUACCCAUGUGGGUUUCACCCUAUAAAACUCUAUAAAGUGGGGUCCUUGGCUACCCACUCGGGACCCCUCCUGCCCCUCAGGAGCUUUCCUUCAAUAAAUAUCUUUCUACUUUUAACCUCUGUCAUGACUAAAUUGAUUUCUAGAGAAGAACUUGGUGAAUCAUGCAGCUAACAGGUUGGGAGAUAUAUUUCAUGUUUCCCAUGACAGAGGGCUGGGCAAGAUAAAACUGUCCCAUGGUUGCACAA
Fukomys damarensis (Damara mole-rat) is the source of this 2326-nucleotide long non-coding RNA. NCBI's taxonomy places the organism in Eukaryota, Metazoa, Chordata, Mammalia, Rodentia, Bathyergidae. The record is from Ensembl.